Molecule: ribosomal RNA, 497 nt
Filed under: uncultured bacterium
Lineage: Bacteria
Description: partial 16S ribosomal RNA
Rfam family: Bacterial small subunit ribosomal RNA
Source: RNAcentral
GAUGAACGCUGGCGGCGUGCCUAAUACAUGCAAGUCGAGCGAACAGACGAGGAGCUUGCUCCUCUGACGUUAGCGGCGGACGGGUGAGUAACACGUGGAUAACCUACCUAUAAGACUGGGAUAACUUCGGGAAACCGGAGCUAAUACCGGAUAAUAUAUUCAACCGCAUGGUUCAAUAGUGAAAGACGGUUUUGCUGUCACUUAUAGAUGGAUCCGCGCCGCAUUAGCUAGUUGGUAAGGUAACGGCUUACAAAGGCAACGAUGCGUAGCCGACCUGAGAGGGUGAUCGGCCACACUGGAACUGAGACACGGUCCAGACUCCUACGGGAGGCAGCAGUAGGGAAUCCUCCGCAAUGGGCGAAAGCAUGACGGAGCAACGCCGCGUGAGCGAUGAAGGUCUUCGGAUCGUAAAACUCUGUUAUUAGGGAAGAACAAAUGUGUAAGUAACUAUGCACGUCUUGACGGUACCUAAUCAGAAAGCCACGGCUAACUACGUG